GAUGAACGCUGGCGGCGUGCCUAAUACAUGCAAGUCGAGCGAACGGACGAGAAGCUUGCUUCUCUGAUGUUAGCGGCGGACGGGUGAGUAACACGUGGAUAACCUACCUAUAAGACUGGGAUAACUUCGGGAAACCGGAGCUAAUACCGGAUAAUAUUUUGAACCGCGUGGUUCAAAAGUGAAAGACGGUCUUGCUGUCACUUAUAGAUGGAUCCGCGCUGCAUUAGCUAGUUGGUAAGGUAACGGCUUACCAAGGCAACGAUGCAUAGCCGACCUGAGAGGGUGAUCGGCCACACUGGAACUGAGACACGGUCCAGACUCCUACGGGAGGCAGCAGUAGGGAAUCUUCCGCAAUGGGCGAAAGCCUGACGGAGCAACGCCGCGUGAGUGAUGAAGAUCUUCGGAUCGUAAAACUCUGUUAUUAGGGAAGAACAUAUGUGUAAGUAACUGUGCACAUCUUGACGGUACCUAAUCAGAAAGCCACGGCUAACUACGUGCCAGCAGCCGCGGUAAUACGUAGGUGGCAAGCGUUAUCCGGAAUUAUUGGGCGUAAAGCGCGCGUAGGCGGUUUUUUAAGUCUGAUGUGAAAGCCCACGGCUCAACCGUGGAGGGUCAUUGGAAACUGGAAAACUUGAGUGCAGAAGAGGAAAGUGAAAUUCCAUGUGUAGCGGUGAAAUGCGCAGAGAUAUGGAGGAACACCAGUGGCGAAGGCGACUUUCUGGUCUGUAACUGACGCUGAUGUGCGAAAGCGUGGGGAUCAAACAGGAUUAGAU
RNAcentral lists this ribosomal RNA (773 nucleotides) under uncultured Staphylococcus sp. RNAcentral describes it as "bacterial SSU rRNA". It matches the Rfam family "Bacterial small subunit ribosomal RNA", at positions 28 to 783 of the family's 1533-position model. Lineage: Bacteria; Bacillati; Bacillota; Bacilli; Caryophanales; Staphylococcaceae. The record is from RNAcentral.